RNAcentral lists this transfer RNA (135 nucleotides) under candidate division MSBL1 archaeon SCGC-AAA382C18. RNAcentral's name for it is "candidate divison MSBL1 archaeon SCGC-AAA382C18 tRNA". It matches the Rfam family "tRNA". Rfam says of the family: Transfer RNA (tRNA) molecules are approximately 80 nucleotides in length. Lineage: Archaea; Methanobacteriati; Methanobacteriota. The record is from Rfam by way of RNAcentral.
GCCGGGGUGGCGCAGUAGGUAGCGCGCUCGGCUGUUAAACCAAGACAUGGAUGAAGAGCGAACCUCCAUUCAGAAUAACUCGACAUGUCUCAUAUGGAAACCGAGCGGUCGGAGGUUCGAGUCCUCCCCCCGGCG